AAUCCUUACUAGGUGGUAUUUGCAUCUCUUCCCUAUGAGUUGGUAACAUUAAAAAAACAACUGUCGAAGUCAGACGAGUGUUGGUCGAGUCUACUGUCAACUACUGUGUUUGCGAUUGAGUGUUUUAGACAAGAAAUAUGCCAUGCCCAGGAUAUUGAUUACAGGGUACACCAAAUUUGGUCAACUUUCAUCAUGGUAACUAAACCUACCAUCGACUUAUCUGGGUUUAAGGGUUCGUACAAACGGAGCGCUAGCGUUAUUUUAACUUCAGUUCUAAACAAUGACUUUUUUUUUCAGAGAUGCUAUAGUUCAGCUAUAGAGAGGACACAGAGAGUAAUUACAAAAAAAAACGAAUUACUAAACUGCCAGUAGAUGUCCGACAGGAGCUUACGGACAGAAAGCGGCAGGCGCAAUUAGAUUUAGCAAUAAGGCCGCCUUUUGUCUCUAGUGUCUCGAUUUAUUUGUUUGGUACGUCAUUUUGUGCAAUCAAGUAUAUUGUAUUGCAAGACUGUAAUUUUAAAUUCUAAUAAAAAAUAUAUAUUUUUAAGGUCCGAAUGUUAAGUGCUUGGUAAAAAAUGUAAAUAAAACAAGCAUUCAAUUAUAAAUUGGGUUUAGUUCAUAUUAAUAAACCUUAAUUUUUCUA
This 643-nucleotide long non-coding RNA is filed under the name Pectinophora gossypiella (pink bollworm). RNAcentral describes it as "uncharacterized LOC126369749". Lineage: Eukaryota; Metazoa; Arthropoda; Insecta; Lepidoptera; Gelechiidae. The record is from RNAcentral.